RNAcentral lists this ribosomal RNA (244 nucleotides) under uncultured bacterium. RNAcentral describes it as "partial 16S ribosomal RNA". It matches the Rfam family "Bacterial small subunit ribosomal RNA", at positions 1257 to 1500 of the family's 1533-position model. The record is from RNAcentral.
UGGACUCAGAGCAAAUCCCAAAAAGACCGUCUCAGUUCAGAUUGCAGGCUGCAACUCGCCUGCAUGAAGACGGAAUUGCUAGUAAUCGCGAAUCAGCAUGUCGCGGUGAAUACGUUCCCGGGCCUUGUACACACCGCCCGUCAAACCAUGAGAGUUGGGAAUACCCGAAGUCUGUAAUCUAACCGCAAGGAGGAUGCAGCCGAAGGUAGGCUCAAUGAUUGGGGUUAAGUCGUAACAAGGUACC